Molecule: long non-coding RNA, 1020 nt
Filed under: Taeniopygia guttata (zebra finch)
Lineage: Eukaryota; Metazoa; Chordata; Aves; Passeriformes; Estrildidae
Description: lncRNA (ENSTGUG00000019178.1)
Source: RNAcentral
AUGCCCAGGCAGCAGUCGGCGAACUCCACGAACAGCGGCUCCUGCAUCAGCCGCCUCAGGACGGAGCUUUUGUCCCGAGCCCGCUCCAGGGCGAGCAGCAGCUCCCGCAGGUGCGGGUUCCGCAGCAGCUCCCGCAGCUCUUCCGACUCUCCUGCACCGGGAAAGAACCGAGUUACAGCCGUGCCACCGAACCUGCCGGUGCCACCGAACCUGCCGGUGCCACCGAACCUGCCGGGGGAAGGCGCAGCCCCGCGCGGGUUUAUCCUGCCCGCCCCAAUCACCCAGCAGCCGCAGUUUGUGCUCCGGGACGCGGUCCUGCUCGUCCUCCUCGCCCGGGAUGUCCUCCGGGAACCCGGCCGCGGGCACCGGCUCCUGCCCGGCCGCGGGGACCGGCUCCUGCCCGGCCGCCUCCCGCUCCCGCGGGGCAUCAUCGGGAGAGCAUCGCUCUGCGGGGAGAGCCGCGUUAGUCCCGGGCCAGCCCCGGCCAGCCCCGGGCCAGCCCCGGUCCCGCCCGGCCCCUCCCGGCCCGCACUCACCGCGGUGGGUCCGGCAGCACGGCACGGAGCAGCUGCGGGGAGAAACGGCGUGAGAGACGGGCCCGCAGCGCCCUCCCCGCUCCCGACAGCGGUACCGGUGCUACUGACGGUACCGGGCCGUGCCCCAUCCCGGCAACAGCGGUACCGGCGAUACCGGCGGUACCGGCAGUGCCCCCAUCCCGGCAACAGCGGUACCGGCCGUGCCCCAUCCCGGGAACAGCGGUACCGGCCGUGCCUCAGCCCGCCGACACCGGUAACGGCGGUACCGGCCGUGCCCCCCCAGCCCGCGGUACCGGCGGUACCGGCAGUACCCCAGCCCGCCCUACCGGCCGUGCCCCCCCAGCCCGCGGUACCGGCGGUACCGGCCGUGCCCCAGCCCGCCGAUAGCGGUACCGGCCAUGCCCCCAGCCCGCCGACAGCGGUACCGGCCGUGCCCCCAGCCCGCGGUACCGGCGGUACCGGCCGUGCCCCAGCCCGCCGAUAG